This 942-nucleotide ribosomal RNA is filed under the name uncultured Lentimicrobium sp. Its description in RNAcentral is "bacterial SSU rRNA". It matches the Rfam family "Bacterial small subunit ribosomal RNA", at positions 549 to 1502 of the family's 1533-position model. Lineage: Bacteria; Pseudomonadati; Bacteroidota; Bacteroidia; Bacteroidales; Lentimicrobiaceae. The record is from RNAcentral.
AUUCAUUGGGUUUAAAGGGUGCGCAGGCGGGAUGGGUAAGUCAGGGGUGAAAUCCCACAGCUCAACUGUGGAACUGCCUUUGAUACUGUCAGUCUAGAGUAUAGUUGAAGUUGGCGGAAUGUGUCAUGUAGCGGUGAAAUGCUUAGAUAUGACACAGAACACCGAUCGCGAAGGCAGCUAGCUAAGCUAUAACUGACGCUCAUGCACGAAAGCGUGGGGAUCAAACAGGAUUAGAUACCCUGGUAGUCCACGCUGUAAACGAUGAUUACUCGAUGUUGGCGAUACACAGUCAGCGUCUGAGCGAAAGCAAUAAGUAAUCCACCUGGGGAGUACGAUCGCAAGAUUGAAACUCAAAGGAAUUGACGGGGGCCCGCACAAGCGGAGGAGCAUGUGGUUUAAUUCGAUGAUACGCGAGGAACCUUACCUGGGCUCGAACGUAAGAUGACUGUAGGUGAAAGCUUACAUCUCUUCGGAGCAUUUUACGAGGUGCUGCAUGGUUGUCGUCAGCUCGUGCCGUGAGGUGUCGGGUUAAGUCCCAUAACGAGCGCAACCCCUACCUUUAGUUGCCAUCAGGUCAUGCUGGGGACUCUAAAGGAACUGCCUACGCAAGUAGUGAGGAAGGCGGGGAUGACGUCAAAUCAGCACGGCCCUUACGUCCAGGGCUACACACGUGCUACAAUGGCCGAUACAGAGGGCAGCUACCUGGUGACAGGAUGCAAAUCUCCAAAGUCGGUCUCAGUUCGGAUCGGAGUCUGCAACCCGACUCCGUGAAGUUGGAUUCGCUAGUAAUCGCGCAUCAGCCAUGGCGCGGUGAAUACGUUCCCGGGCCUUGUACACACCGCCCGUCAAGCCAUGGAAGCUGGGGGGACCUAAAGUCGAUAACCGCAAGGAGUCGCCUAGGGUAAAACCAGUGACUGGGGCUAAGUCGUAACAAGGUAGCCG